UAAUUAAAUAGGACCACAUACUCUUACACUUGUUUUGCUUGCUUACAUCUUUGCAUCUUCAACUGAAGGCGUGAGCUUUGCCUAGGUUGGGUUGUGUUAUUAAACGCUUCUUGUGUUCUCCUGAUGAUGAUUUCUGAAAGGCUUUGCGCAUGAGGGAUGAGACAAAAGUGCUGCGUCACGAUAGGGGGGAUGGUUCUAUAGAUGCUUGCAACUUCUAACAAAUCCCUUGUUUCGGUGAAGCACCAAGCGACAGGACACUUUAAUACAGUCUGCAAGCCCAAAGUGCCUUGGUGGAUUCAGCUGCUUCAUUUGCUGCGGCAAAGUACAGAGGACCCUGUCGAUGUUGCAAAGCAUGUCAUGCAAGAAGCUAGUCUAAGAGGGCUAUAUAAAGGCUUGGUUCGGAUCUUGGAACGCGAAGUUCCUGGUAAUAUUGCUGCCUUGUUCGGAGUAUACGAAGCCCUCAAGCGGUAUUUUGCAGGCGGUUGAGACACUUCAGGAUUCCUCUGAUCAUUGCUGGAGGCCUAGCUGGAGCAUCCUUCUAUCUAUCUACCCAACGUUGUAAAGAGCAUGAUUCAGAUUGAUGGUUAUAAGAAUCCAAAGUACGUCAGAUUCUGACUUCAGAGGGAAUCAAGGACUUUUACAGAGGCUUUGGACCAGCAAUGGCUCGCAGUGUCCCAGUUAAUGCAGACUCUUUCUUGGCAUAAGAUCUAGCCUUGGCUGACGUUGUCAAUUCUCAGAUUCUUCAUCUUUUAUUCUUGAACAAAGGAGGAUCAAUUUUCAGAAAAAAAUUAGUAGAAUAAUUUUCCAUUCUUUAAACCAA
Musa acuminata AAA Group (dessert banana) is the source of this 820-nucleotide long non-coding RNA. RefSeq lists it as uncharacterized. NCBI's taxonomy places the organism in Eukaryota, Viridiplantae, Streptophyta, Magnoliopsida, Zingiberales, Musaceae. The transcript is spliced from 2 exons. The record is from RefSeq and is a predicted model, not a curated record.